CAACUUUCAACAACGGAUCUCUUGGCUCUCGCAUCGAUGAAGAACGCAGCGAAAUGCGAUAAGUAAUGUGAAUUGCAGAAUUCAGUGAAUCAUCGAAUCUUUGAACGCACCUUGCGCUCCUUGGUAUUCCGAGGAGCAUGCCUGUUUGAGUGUCGCGA
This 158-nucleotide ribosomal RNA is filed under the name Hymenochaetales sp. KUC20131001-10. RNAcentral's name for it is "5.8S ribosomal RNA". It matches the Rfam family "5.8S ribosomal RNA". From Rfam's summary of the family: 5.8S ribosomal RNA (5.8S rRNA) is a component of the large subunit of the eukaryotic ribosome. It is transcribed by RNA polymerase I as part of the 45S precursor that also contains 18S and 28S rRNA. The record is from RNAcentral. RNAcentral also lists the same sequence under 1 other name. Lineage: Eukaryota; Fungi; Basidiomycota; Agaricomycetes; Hymenochaetales.